Tympanuchus pallidicinctus (lesser prairie-chicken) is the source of this 12163-nucleotide long non-coding RNA. RefSeq lists it as uncharacterized. The transcript is spliced from 7 exons. The record is from RefSeq and is a predicted model, not a curated record. NCBI's taxonomy places the organism in Eukaryota, Metazoa, Chordata, Aves, Galliformes, Phasianidae.
GCAAGAAUCCCUUGGCAUUCUGAAUACUUUAUCUGCCUUCUUAUAUGCUCACAAAUGGCUAUUGUAAACCACGUUUUCUCUUCACCAAAAAUACAAAACCAACAGAGAUGCAUGUUUCUCUGCUGAUGCUGGUGAUGCUGCAGGUCUAAGGAGGCUUUCUGGUUAUUGAGGGAGCUGCCCGUAUAUUUUUGUGUACAGGGGAGCUGCUUGCAAGGAAGGCUCACUAAUUAGAGGGAAAAUAUUUGAUCUCCAUAGGCUUUUGGUGAAAUAUCUGAGAAAGGCAGCAGAUGUUGCUGAAAUUAUUUUUCAUCUGUUUUCCCCUGUUUUCUUACCAUGUUUCAUCUGCUUUACCCUGUUUUCUUAUGUGGUGCAUCAAAUUAAAAUUCAAUAAACUGCUCAUGGCUGUUUACUGGGGAGUGCAAAAAAAUUGCUCUAGAUUAAAGCUGGUGCCUCAUCCAGUGCAGAGUAUGUGCACUCACCCCAGCAUCCCUUUGCCUUACUUCUGAAAGCCACAGAUUACCCAGAGCCUUCAGCAACGAGUUGUCAGACUACCCAAAAUGUGUUGUAGCGCAGCCAGCCCGUAUUUCUCCAUGGGGUCUGAUGUCAUCCUGGCAAGUACGGCAUCUAGAUGAUAUGGAUUUGUAAGGACCUGCCUUGAAUUACUCCUUUUCCCAGUAGUUCAGCUCUCUGAUAGCCAGAAAGCUUCUAAUCAGGCUCCUCAAUCCAAAAAGAAAACCAGCAGAGAUGUAGGACAGUCUUGAUGACCAUCCACAACGUCUUGUGGAGGAACCUGACUUCUUCUGAGUGGCUUCAGGUGAGGGAAUUUUGAAGACAAGAACCUGAAUCCAGGUGUGAUCUCUUCAGUUCUAAAAGUCUUGAGAGUCUGAAAGCUGCAUUUUGGAAGUUUUAGCCCUUGGAUGUGGUGUGUCCUACAUCAUGGGCAGCACCAUUCAGAGAGCAACCACAGACGGGUCUCUCUGGAGAACCAUUCCAAGGGUCCAUAGAGAAUCACUUACACAGAUUGGACAUCAAACGCUGUCUCAAAUCCAAAACCACUUGGUUUUGGUUGUAGAGGCAAAGCAAGCAUCUUUAUGAGUUUGCUUGUCUUAUUUCGACCCAAAAUCAUCUACAGGACACUGCAUUCAGGCCCACUGGACAGGUCAGUUAAUUAUGUUGAGUGGGUCAAUAGAUGGAUCAAUUUAUCAAAUGAUAAAUAGAGAUUCUGCUUUCAUCAGGGUAGUGAAUAUUAAUUGAUUUGACAGGCAGAAGCUUGGUAAAACAAGUUGAAGUUGCAUCAGGGCAUCACUGUAUUAAUUAGCCAUGUUGAAGCUGCUUUUAGCUGCUUCCGAAGUUUAAUCAAUAUGCUGCAUUUGAGUCCCAAAAGGCUUAUGGAAACAGCCUUUGAAAUCCUCUAAAUUGCUGCCUCUGUGAGGUUUUAGACUCUUUACUUAUUCUUGUUCUGCUGUUUUUCUUCCUUAUUUUUUUUCUCCCUCCUGCAAUCAAUAGUGACCCACAAGAAUUGGUAGGGGUGGGUUUUCUUAUUUGUAUCACAAAUUUGCAUUGGCUAGGAACAGAAAUGAAAUGAGAAAGAUCUUCUGUUUUAGUACAAUAAUAGUAAUAAUCCUGGACAUUAAUGAGCUGCCCUCUGUCUUCCAGUUUCUAUAUGCAGUAAAUUACCUCUAUAGACUUAAUCUGAUGUGAAUGAGCAAGGCACCAGUUAAAUCAUGUUUUCCUGAGCCCUCGCAUACUGCUCAGACUUUGAUUUAAUACAAAGUAAGGUUUGAGCUUGCUGAUAUGUUUUACUGAGCGGGAGGAAGGAGAAGGUGGAGCUGGAAAUGAGGCCAGAGAAUUAAACUAUGCAGAGAAGGGGAUGGAGACCCUGAGACUGCUGGGUGCAAGGGUGGUCGUCUAGGACUGCCCUGGUGGCAUCCACGCCACUGGCCAGCUUUGUGUGUGUAUGGGAACUGCUGAGUCCCAGCCUGAUUGAGCACCUGGGGAAAGCACCUGGGAAAGCACCUGGGAGCACAGGUGAAGGCAAUGCAUCUGUGUGACUGGAAGUGAUGGAACCUCUCUUCGACGUCAUUGAAGGGCUGACUGCUGCUGGGGAAGGAUCUCUCUUUGGAGAUCCCUCCUUGGUGGAACUUUCUCCUGCAAACCUGGAAUCUUCUGAUGUGGCCUAGGUUGGCCAGUACCUGUUGAAGCAACCUUUGCUGCCUCAGUUAAUCCCUGCCACCGUUGCAGCAGAUGGAAGCUCCUCCAGAAGGUGACUUGAGGAGACUCUGACAUUCAGGCCUAGACCCUUGAAGUGCUUGGUGGUGUGCUGAGGAAGGUUCUUGGAUCCCAAAGCAAGAAGCAAAGCCACUUGGCUUUGAAAAGAGGUGCGGAAAAGCUUAAGGAAUUAACGAGGACUACUGGGAAAUCACUCACCAGGAACUUUCAGUGCUCUGAACUCAGGAAAGAAAUGGGAAGAAAAUCCUUUAUGUGCACUUCUUUUUCUCCCAACAAGAAUAUAUCUGUCAAGAGAAACAGAUGUUCUCUAUGAAAAAUCUUCUUUAAUUACAAGUCUGUCAAAAGGAGGUUGAGCGGGAGCAAAGCCACCAGCCAAAACACUGUGACAAACCCACAACCGGCAGCUGAAAGCUCCUUACCCAGAGCUCAGGACAUCUGCACAUCACACCAAAUGUUGCAUAAUAAAAGAAGACUGUCUGAAAUCUUACACUUCCAGAAAUCUUCACGUGUCUCAAGCCUCAAAUCUGUGAAUGGUUUCAGCCCCAGGCAGGAAAUUGCCCCUUUCCUGAGCAGCUCCUGUGCCCUUCUUCAGCUCUUGUCAUCCGUGCAGCUGCACCAAUAAACUGGGAAUUUCUGGAGUUUAAUUUUCAGAUGAGCCCGCUUCAAAUCAAUGGAGCUGCUGCUUUUUGUGACUCCUGGGAAGGAGAUGGCAUGGAAACAACCCACAGUCAUGCCCAAAUAAGAAAACUAAAAGAAUUAUUGGUUUUGGUCAACCUGGAACAUGGCUCUUUUUUGCCCUGACAUUUUCCUAGAGGAAAGUGAAACUCUUCAUCUGCAGAUUCAAAAGAAUCCCAAAGGCACUCUGUCAGACAUCUCCCAACGUGCUCUCAGUUAUUGCUGGAUGGAUCACAAGCUCUCCAGGGAGCAGUGAAGAUGUUUUUGUGGGUUGCAAAACCCAGGUCAAAGCUUAAAGCUGAAAAUACUCAAUUCCAGUGUCUGCUUCUUGCUUCCAGAGGAGCUAUCUGCUCAUUGUCUUUGUCUUCAUCAUCUUCAUCUUUGUCUUUGCUUUCUGUUUGUCUUCCUUCUUUUUUUUUUUUCUCUCUCUCCUCGUCCUUUUCUUCCUUCCUCCAGCUCAUAAAUCCCCACCUCCCCUCCUUUCCUUCUCCCCUUCAUGCAUUGCAUGCUGAAUGCAGGAGGCUCUCAAAGGCAAGAGCAGGCUUGGGACACUCUUACCCACAACAGCAGCGGUGAACAGAACCCAGGUUUUCAGCCAGGAAAUUGCACUGGUAAUCUCCUUUGAGGGAGGCACUCCCAUUUUUCAUGAUGGUUGGCCCUUGUGGGAUAUGGAUGAAAAGAGAAAGCAUUUCAUUUGCUCUUUGAAAACUGGAGCUAUAGAUCAAGGCCCCGCUCGUUCCCCUGAAGACUAGAAAUGGGAUUUCUGCAAGAAUUGAGGCUAUCCUCUCUGAAAACUAAAACAGUUAUCUACACUUUCAUCGAGAGGUCAGCAGUAGAGACUUUUCUCAAACAGCUGGAUAAAUCCAGGCUGUUAGCGCCUCUCCUUCCCGCUCUCCUCUGUUAUUGCUUUUCAUUACAUGAAGGGUGAGGAACAAGCAAAUACCUCUGCUUCCCAGCUUUGCCCUUGCCUGUUUGUACAAAGCAGCCAAAUAUUUCCUUCUGACUCUCAGGCCCCAAGUACCUUUGGUGUCUAUAUUUUUUCCAUUGGAUGCCAUGGUCUGGAUGCAGAUGCCCAGGGCUGCUUAAUCCUAGCAGAUGGCAUAGAAAUGUUAUUUUUCAGACACGGGCACUCCUCCAUGGGUGCCACAGGACCAGGGCAUCCUUUGUCACCUGGACCCAGUGCAAUCUCCUGUGACACUGGGCAGGAGGGUUUGCAGAGUCACGCUGCAUCCUGCGUCCCUGAGCCUUGCAGCCAUAAAUCCUUUGCCUCUGCCAUAACCGUGAUUGAGCCUGCCUGGCUUAAUUCAUUCCUCCAGAGCCCACACGGUUAUGGCAGAGAUGAUUGCCUGCUCAAGGAGCAGCACUUGGGAUGAAAUCUUUUCCUCUUGAGAGUACUGCUGGAAAAACAAGGCAGCAUCCAUGAGCUGCCAGCAUCCCUGUGUAGGCAGUGUCUUUCCUUGGCCACUUCUUUGCCGUGCUCUCAUCCUUCCUGACCUCUCCCUUUCUCUCCUUUAAAUCAUUUUCUCUUUGCUUCAUUUCUGCCUAUGUCUCUUCCUAUUCAGUUUCCUCGCUAGGUGCUGGAGCUGACUCAAUGGUGAUCCAGCAAAUCACAGUAGUGAUGCUGCUGAUGGAAUAACUCCUUGGGGUUCUGUGCAGUUGCUGUGCGGGCACUGAGCUUCCAACAGCAGAAAAGGAGCAGGAAAGUCUGAUGUUUGGAAAGCUGCAUCAACCGCAGCUUUCAUCCCUACCUCGGGGAGAUGGGUUUUGGAGUCCUAGCAGUCUGCCCACCCUAUGGACAUAGCCAAAUAACCCUAGUUCCUUCCCAAGCACUGCUACCCAGAGAGGUGCUCUGUCCUGGCUAAGGGAGCUGAGCACAAAUAACUCACAAAUAAUGGAAAUCUCCACCAUGUGCCCCCAGCAUUGGCACAGUUCAGAGCCCUGCGAGAAGUGCACUGCCUUGUUUGUCACCUGAAGCACUUGGAAAAAUUACAUGAAUCCAUCAAAGUAAUGAAUCUUCUCAGCAGUGGCAAAUAGACAGAGACAGACAGGCACUCAGCUGAAACAAGUCAUCUUUAAAAAUUAAUACAAAAUAAACAGCUGGCCUUUCGCUCCGCUUCCAGGUGGUGGCUGCGUGGUUUGGGCAAGGGCUGGGCAGAGACCAAUGAUGGUUCCCAAUGGGAGCAUGUCCCUGGGGCAGGGAAGUGUCCUCUGCUGGGUCCCUGUCACCGCCACAGUGUCACCUCCAUCUUCUGCUGCUCCAGGAACGGUGGUGCAACACGGUGGUGGAUGCUGCACGGUGUGAGUGACUGCUUAGGAAACAGCCAAACCUUUGUGAGUGCCAAAGCCUCAUCACCUCCCUACAGCCUUGCCAGGCUCCUCCCAGCACUCUGGGCUCCCACAUCGGUUUGUCAGUGUCUGAUGGAGCUUGUACACUCCUCAGAGGACAGGUUGAGCUUGCUCUCCUGCUUGUCACAAUAUGGGCUCCAUAAAUAAUUAACAGCGGUGCUGCUGCCGCCCCCGAGCUUUGAUUUCAUUACUGAGGAAUAACAUACCCACCUAUACGUGUGUGUAUGUACAUGUCUGCGUGUAAUACACCUCCGUAUGUACUUACAUUGCUUAAACAUCUGUUUCACCAGCCAGCCUCUCUGCUUUUCCUCUGGUCCCAAGGGCAGGUAAGCAGCAGAAGGCACUGCUCUCGACCACGAGCAUCCCACCAGUGCUCCAGCUGCUCCUGCCCUGAGGCUGGGCUAUUUACGAGGUACCAAUGGGGCUGCCCUUGCCCUGCAGAGUGUGGGGACGGAGAGCGGGGAGGAAGACGGAUGGAUCCUGAAUUGAGGUGAAUUUAUGGGGCUCCGUGAUUCCUGCUGCCGUACGUCUCCAAGAAAUGACACCGCCACUUCAGGAGCAGAGAUUAAUCUGAGUCGGCAGGAGAAGGACAAAACAAAUCAUCUACUGCAGGAAUCUCAUUUGAUGCCUGUUAGUAAAAGCAGCGGGAUGAAUGGCUUUUGUAAAGACCGCGCCGAAACGGGCUUUUUUUUUUUUCCCCCUCCCUUCUCUCCAUUCGUCUGCAAAUUGAGGUCUGUGAGAUGUGCAGUGGAGGCAGUCCCAGGGUCACUCACGGCCCAAGCACAGCACAAGGACCCCCAGCAGCUUUGUGCACUGUGAGACAGGACAGCAAAAAAGGGAAGGCAGAGCUCUUAGCGCAUCGUAUCAAAGGGAAGAAUCCUUCACUUUAUUUUUUUAAAAAGAGGGCAUUAAUUCUCCUGUCCUGCAGAACACGGGGUGAGGGCAGCCUGCAGCCCCAGACAGAACAUCCCGGCGAUGCUCUGUAUCCCAGCCAGCAGCAGCUGGAUGCGGCCCAACGGCAGCAGUACCAGCACCAAGCACUCCUGCACGCCGCUGUGCAUCCCAGCUCAAUACAGAAUCAAUCCAAUUGAUCUUUUUUUUUAAGGUGCAGCCUCCGAAUGGCUGAGACUGUGAGAGACACAGCUAAGCAUGCACUUCCACAAAAUAAUUUGUCAGGCCCCGCUGUAGAAACCUAAUGAUGGCUGUAAUUUAUUGCUGACAGACGAUAUUUAUCACCGCAGCAUCCCCUCUUUCUCUUUCUCUGUCUCGUUAGGAAUGGCAUCAAUAAUGUUUAUUGUAGCUUUUAAUUUUUUAUCGCUGAUAUUCUUACCUGCGCUGCUGAUGGCUGCAGGAGAUGGGAAAGGCUUCAGAGCAGAUGGAGCCUCAGCUCUGUGCUGAAGGGUGAGCAACGAAAGCUGCAAGUUCCUCCUGCGUGCCCAUGCAGGGAGAAUGCAGUGCCAGAGAGCACCCCGAUAGCAGGGAAAAGCAAGCUGUUCCCAUAAAGCUUAUCCCCUCCCUGCUGAGCCUCUGGACUUGUGCAAGGGAUGCUCAGACCCAGCAAGGCAGUGGCAUUGCUUUGGUUUUCCCCAGACUCUACUCCCACAUGGGGCUGGAGAAGGAACAUCAUGCCUCCUCUGCUGCACCUGCAUUGCUGUGGUCAUCACACCUGAUGAUGCCCACAAGCCCUGGGGUCACAGAGCUUGUCCCUGAAAACAGCCGAAACCCCAACUCCAAUCUUGAAAUCUCCUUGUUUCCCCCUUGUUUUCCUACAGUUUUUCCUACCCUUGAGGAAAUGUGCAGCACCAGGUUUUGAUGCCCUAUAAAACAGCACUUCCCAGAGGGGAUUUUUUCCCCCUUUCCAGACAUGAAUAAUUACCCAGGCAGCGGCUGUUCCAGCGUUGUUACCGGAGCCUCUCAGACUAGCUGGUCAUUUACAGAUUAGAUAGAUGUUGCCCACGUUGUUCAUAACUGAUUAUGGGAUUGGCAGUUUGGCUCUCACCCAAAAUUCAGAGUCCUGAUUUAGCAUAAUUGGAAGUGAAUGGCAGAGCAGGCUGGGGGAUGGGGAUGGUGCCUGCUGCUGAUUUUCUAAUGCCGGCUUUGGGGAUCCCUGACAAGCUGCAGUGUGCUCUUUAUAGGGCAAUAACAUUUAUGGUGUGAGUUGUCCUGGGGAGGAACUCCUAUGAUGGCAGCAGCCACCUCCUGCCUGUCCCAGAUCAAAGCUGGAGAAAUCAAGAAUUCCAGAAGAGCAACGAGGAUGAUAUUAAAAAAUAAUCCCUUCUGUCUCAAGGUGUGGGCUUUUUUGCUUAAAGAAAUUGUUCUUCUGUGUUAAUCUAUUCUACUUUGUGUUAUCCUGUCCUUUUACUGACUUCUAUUUCUUCCUUAGUUUAUGCCACUAAAUGUUGGGUUUCCCAGUGUUGACCCUUCACACACCCGUAGCCUUCCUUGCACUUAUUCUCACAACCCCUCUCUGCUGGAGGCUCCAAGAGCACAACGCAAUCCAGCCAUUUGCCCAAAGCAAUAACAAUACCCACGGCAGGAACAACACCGAGCUCCUGCAUCCUCCCCUGCCAACACUAGCCAUGGAACAUCAAAAAUGCUGCUGGAUCUGCUUGUCUUGCUUUUAGCCACCCAUCAGCAAGUCCUGGGCAGGUGGCAGGUCUUGCUCUGCAAAAUGCAAGCAAUGGGGCUGGAGAAUUUCUGAGGGCAUUUUGGGAGGGGGUGAGGGCUCUUUUGCCCCCAGUCCCCCCCACCCCUUUCUUCUGACCGCCAUGCUUGCUCUAAUGCUCUGGCAGAGCUCUGCUUCCUGGUCCUGUGGCUUUGAGCUCAUUUGUCAAACACAGUGAUCUUCAUGAAGGGCUGUUAUUAGAGCAUUUACUUCCCAUUUCUCAUCCUAUGUUGUCAUCGCCUUCCAAGAUUAAUUAAGGGAAGAAGACAGGACAUCUUGCCUUCCAUUGGUUUCCCCCUUCCCUACCUUUUGUACAGCCCCUUCAUCUCCAUUCCUGACCUGAGCACCGCUGGGGAGCAAAUAUGCAACACUCAAUAGUUCCCUCUUCCCUCUUGUGGGUGAUAUAUCAAGGUUUUGGUUUUUUUCUUACCUCUUUGUAAGUAGAAGUGCUUUGGUGAGCCUCGUCCUGAACAUCAAUCCUCCCCAAUGGCCUCAGCUGCCAACACUAAGCCAGGAAACAUCCCAAAUCCAUUGACUUAUGGCUGCUGUAAGUGUUUGUUUCAGGCUUACCACCCCAGUCCCUGGGGCCAAUAUACUGGCCGUGCUGCCAGGCUCUCAUGAUGCUCUGCAUUUGGGUCACCCUGUGGCAAUCGCGUGCUUUUGUUCACUAUUUCUGUUGAUCAGAAACCAUGACCCACGGUUCUGAUAGAGAAGUGAUGAUGCUGGCAUGCUUCUCACUCUUGCUGGCAGCACGGAGCCUUCAGCAAGCAGCCAGGAUGCUCCCCCUGGGCAUUGCUUUGGUCCCGCCUUUACUGACGGAUGGAGGAGAUGCCUCCUCAUGCAUGUGUUAUCAGUGAUCCAGAAAAGAUUUGAGGAAAUGCGGGAUGAGCAUCUGUCAGCUGCUGUUUGCAUCCCCCAGGUACCCCACAGCCUGCCGUGCUGCGCGUUCGCAAGCCGCAUCCCUGACAUUUUGCCUCUCACAUGUGAGUCAGCCAAAAAGAGGGAGAAAACUCACCCAGAUCAGAUGGUGGCUCCCUGAUGAGAUUCCUAUGGCUGAUGGGUUCAAUGAACACCUUCAUGGAAGCUUCCCUGUGGCACCUUCCUUCCAUGCCAUGGCAUGAGAGCAACAAGAGUUGUUUCAGCUCCCUGAUACGAAGCAGGCAAGAGGAUGGGAUGAAAGCAUCCCAGCCUGUUUACCUGGCUCUCCCAGUGACUCAUCCCAAUGAACAUCUCUCCCUGACUUUGCUGGGCUCCAGAUGCUGCCUCAGUGCAAGCCUGAUCCCGUGUCUUUGUGAACCAUCACACCCUCAGCUCAUCAACCCCAAGCCACACACGGAAUAAAGACACGAAGCAGCAGGUCCUCAGCUGAUGUGCAUCAAUAUGGAUCUCCUGCAGCCGGCAAAGCUGACUUACAACCAGCCGGGGAGGUAACCCAAAAUGCUGCUCGUUGGAGCAAAAGAAAUUUCUGCAGUAAUUAGAUCUGGAGCAUGAUUACCCAAAGGGAAACAAAAAACAAAUGUGGGUGACAGAUAUUUCCAGGAUAACUGCAGUUAUUAAUGCUUUUCUCUACCAGUGACAGGCACUAGGGAUUAGUAUUGCCUGAAAAAGGCUGGUUUACUGUGGGAAAAAAUGAGGGCUGGAAAUGAAGCAAGUAGAAGGCCAUAUGCUGCUCGGUGUGCUCGGGGGGUCCUGGGAGGAUAGCUUUAGCCAAAACAACAAAGGCAAAUAUGUGAGGCAUAUGUGAGGAGAAACAUGAACCUGUUGCUUGUAAGUUACCAGUUUGAAAGAAAGGGAGAAAAAAAACACAAGAGGGAACCUGUCAUUCUCGAUUUCUCAAGCUCACCCUGAAUUAGCAACCCUGUUUGUGAGUGGUGAGGCUGAGUCUUGGGCUGCAAAUCUUCAGGUUGGUGCGAGCAUGAAGCCUUGCCUGCCCUGUGGCCUUGUGCAGAGUGAUGUGCGUGGUAGCACAAAGCAACAGCCCUGCAUCACACACCACAGGGCCUUUCCCUCUGUUUGUUGCAUGAGCUGUUGUCCUUCUCUGUAUGGGAACGGUGGAAAGGCACCUUCCCCGGGGAAAGGCUCGCAUCGUGGCCUUGCUGCACAGCUUGGACAAGCAACUGAGAGCUCAAAUAUGACCAAGAGGAUGGCUGAAAGCUUGAGAGCUGUGUGUGGGCUGCUCCAGGGUGUGGGAACGGCAUGGGCUCAGCCACCCCAGGGUUUGCUUUGGGCGUGCGCCUGUGAGCAUCUCCCUCUGCUCCACGCAUCAGUCAGCACGGCUGGCUGCCGAGAACCACAUGGGCUCCCUGAAAACCAUCAGAUCCUGCCUCGCUAAGAGGUUUGGAAGCAAGCAGGGCUAAAACAACAACAUGGGCUAGGCAUUAAAGUCAGGGUGAGGAGGGUUUUUUUUUCCUUUUGAAUGGAAGGAGUGUUGACAUCUGGGGAGUAACAAGAUUAAUUUCUAACGUGGUGGUUUGCCAAUAAGCAUAAUUUGAAGCAAAUUGUUUGUGUUCUGGUGUUUGCCCUGGCUCACAAUCCCCACAGGUGAUGCAAAGGGCCAGACCAGGCAGGAGGUCCACCCAGCUCACAGCCCCAUCUCCUCCUGCAGGUCCUGGGAGAGCACAGGAUCUUUACAGCAGGCAGCUGUGAGAGCCUGCCCACAAUGAAGCUGGAAAUCAGAUAUCAGAGACUAUCCAAAUUAUAUUGAUAGGGCAAGGGGAGAUGGUUUCAGACUACCAGAGGGGAGAUUUAGAUUGGAUACAAGGAAAAAAGCCUUGUACAAUAAGAAGACUGGUGAGGCUCUGGCUCAGGUCAUACAGGGAGGUGGUGGAUGCUCCUCCUUCUGUGGAGACAUUCAAGGUCAGGCUAGGGGGCUCUGAGCAACUGACGGAGCUGUAGGUGUCCCUGUGCAUUGCAAGGCAGUUGGACUAGAUGACACUUAAGGUCCCCUUCCAAUUUGAAUGACUCUGGGAUUCUAUGACAUGUGGCACCAUCAGUCUUGUUGGCUGGUGAAAAGCCACCUGCAUCCUCAUUUCUCUUAUGGACUGGGUAGUAGUAGCAGCUCCUCAGUGGGGUGCCUGCAUGGUUAAAGCAGAGUGAAAGCCCCUAAAUAUCUCACCAAAGAACAUCCCCUACCACUGCUGGGGAUCCAUGCCUGGAUGAUGAGGUGACAAGGAGGUGUGAGGUGCCACCAGGAGGUGGGAAUGGCCGUGUGUUAGGGCAGGAUAAGCACUGAGGAUGCAGACAAAGGAAAACAAAGUUAAAACGGGAGACAGGAAACAACCCAGUGUGCUGAGCAGGCAACAGCUGCUGCCAAACACACCUGAGCUGGGUAAUCCUUGAUAUCUGUCUUUUGGGGCAUUGCUUAACAGUAUAAUUGAACUGUAUACUUUGACUCUGCCCAUGGGCUUUCCCCCAUCACCCAUAGCAGACAGCCCCACCUGCUUCCACAUCUUACUUCUUCAGGUUGAUUGGUUUAUUCCAUCUUCUGAGAUGCGUUAUGGUGAUUUGGUUUUUAGUUUCCAAAUGAUAUCGUUGUUUAGAAAUUGUUUUGACACCAGUUGAUUUUUGCUGUUGAUGUUCUGCAUCUCCACAGUCCUGGAAAUACGACAAGACAGGAUCUCUACAAUCCCUCUCUCAUUUAGAAAACUGAUUUCCUAUUUGACCUGAAAACUGAAUAUCUUUGGCUAAAAGAUAACAUACUAUAGAAAAUGGUGGAUGCAUGCUGCUGGAACUUGAUGAUCUGGAAUUGCUCUUUUUAAACUCAAAAAAGUCCCCAACCCCAAACAAAAUACCCUACCUCCUCCACAUUUCCAUCGCCCAAAACGCUGAUGAGGAAAACUCAGACAGCUGGGAAGCAGUGCUGAGAUAGGAGCUCUUCCUAUGGGAAAGCAAGAUAUUUAUUUAAAGACAAGACUGAAUUCCAAUAGACACAAGGAAAUGUCAAAAUAUUGCACAAGCAGGAAGAGGAACGCACACAAUUGUCUCUGCAGCCUGCGCAUAAUGAAUAACUUAGCACCUGGGCAAUGCAGAAGUUAUAACAAAGCAAGUCAAAGGAAGGCAAUGCUGUUGGAAGGGGGGAAUGGCACUUUGAUCCUUGGCCCAAGAUAGUGUAAACAGACUGUUGUUUAGGCAGGUAGAGAAGAAAAAUGUUACAGGAGGAGGAACAGGAAGCACCGGGCAGCCCAGUGCAUCCACCUGAGAGUGGUCAGCUGGAAGCAAACACCAUGCCUGCAGAGCUGUAAGAGGCUG